GCUAAAACUAAUCUGGAAUCUAUGAGAAGAGUAGCUUCAAGAAAGGAACCUGGAAUUAGCUAUUGGAACAAUUCAAGAAAAGCAAAAUAAAAGCUCUGACCCAUUUGAGAAGCUCAGGAAGCCAGACUACAACCUCUGCAGCAAUCUAUUAAGAAAAGUAAGACUUGGACAAUAAUAGCCAAUUUCCCUAAUUUUUGCUCCCACUUCCAACACAGAAUCAAUCAGAGAAAGCCAAAUAUGCUGCACAAACUAAUCAGGCACACAGUGAGAGAGAGAGAGAGGCAGAGACACAGGCAGAGGGAGAAGC
Long non-coding RNA from Canis lupus familiaris (dog), 307 nucleotides. RefSeq lists it as uncharacterized. The record is from RefSeq and is a predicted model, not a curated record. The transcript has 3 exons. NCBI's taxonomy places the organism in Eukaryota, Metazoa, Chordata, Mammalia, Carnivora, Canidae.